AGUGAACGCUGGCGGUAGGCCUAACACAUGCAAGUCGAACGGCAGCACAGUAAGAGCUUGCUCUUACGGGUGGCGAGUGGCGGACGGGUGAGGAAUACAUCGGAAUCUACUUUUUCGUGGGGGAUAACGUAGGGAAACUUACGCUAAUACCGCAUACGACCUACGGGUGAAAGCAGGGGAUCUUCGGACCUUGCGCGAUUGAAUGAGCCGAUGUCGGAUUAGCUAGUUGGCGGGGUAAAGGCCCACCAAGGCGACGAUCCGUAGCUGGUCUGAGAGGAUGAUCAGCAGCACUGGAACUGAGAAACGGUCCAGACUCCUACGGGAGGCAGCAGUGGGGAAUAUUGGACAAUGGGCGCAAGCCUGAUCCAGCCAUACCGCGUGGGUGAAGAAGGCCUUCGGGUUGUAAAGCCCUUUUGUUGGGAAAGAAAAGCAGCAGGUGAAUACCCCGCUGUUCUGACGGUACCCAAAGAAUAAGCACCGGCUAACUUCGUG
RNAcentral lists this ribosomal RNA (492 nucleotides) under uncultured bacterium. Its description in RNAcentral is "partial 16S ribosomal RNA". It matches the Rfam family "Bacterial small subunit ribosomal RNA", at positions 29 to 507 of the family's 1533-position model. The record is from RNAcentral.